UUUCUUUCUCAUACAUUAUAACGUACUAGAUAAGGCCCGUCUAUUUAGGCGGGUAUAAGAUACAAAAAUAAAUUUUUAUCGAUAGUAUUUGAAUAUUAUAUAGCAAUCUAUAUAUUUUUUUGA
RNAcentral lists this small RNA (123 nucleotides) under Arabidopsis thaliana (thale cress). RNAcentral describes it as "ATSL272020". The record is from RNAcentral. Lineage: Eukaryota; Viridiplantae; Streptophyta; Magnoliopsida; Brassicales; Brassicaceae.